Molecule: long non-coding RNA, 3179 nt
Organism: Nerophis lumbriciformis (worm pipefish)
Lineage: Eukaryota; Metazoa; Chordata; Actinopteri; Syngnathiformes; Syngnathidae
Source: RefSeq, a predicted model, not a curated record
UGGCCCUCAACAUAAUGUAAAUCAAAAUUCAUUAAUAAGCUAAUAUAAGAUAUUACAUUAAUUUGCAUUGUCACGUACAGUGGCAGUACCGCUUUUCAUAUUCGGUUUUUCGAUGGAAAUUUUGCCCCGAUUUUUGUACACACAUUUAUUGUACAGCCGAACAUUGAAUACCACUGCAAAAUAAGUCACCAUAGGGCCUAAAAAAGGUGUAAGUGCCAGCAAGCACUUAGAUAAAAAAAAAAAAAAGGGAGAGCAACACUUAGAUUUUAUAAAGAAAUCACAUGUUUGAGGGCAACAUCCUUGUGGUUCUCCCCUCCAUUUUCGCUCAUCGCCCUAUUUGUAAGUGAUGUUGAUUUAUUUGUGAUUUAUUUUGUAGGGGUGUGAAUGUUUGGGCAUCUAGCGGUUCAAUACAACUCUUGGGGUGACUUUUUGUCUAUUCUAGCUUAUUCUGGUUGUAUGGUGAUGGCCUAAAAACGUAUUUUUAAAAAUGGAUGCCUUUAAUUAAAAAAAAAGUAUAUAUAGUGUAAGUGAUAGGAAAUGUUUGACACCUCAGACAUAUAGGAACAUUUAGGGGUGGUUGUCACGUGACUAUCCCAGGACACGACUCUUCUCAAAAUGGCGGUGUGUCAGGUGAGCUACCUAUUUUGUCAAAUAUUUUGAUUUUUGCUAUUCAAGCUGUUUUUAAAGACAUUCAAUUAUAUUAGAAUGUCUAAUAGUGCAAUUCAACUCUUGCCACUAUUUCCUCAAUUUAUAUCCAACAAGCUAGGAAGAUACUGGACUUUUGCUCUAAAAUUGCAAUGUGACAUGUUAGUGACAUUAGCAAAUAUGCUAAUGAGUCAGUCCGUAAAUGAAGCGCUUUUUAAAAAAAAAUUAUUACCCCGCAAAAUAUCCCCCUUAAUGUUCUUUAAUUGUAUCCUGCGCAAGUAAAAAAUAGCCGAACCGCAUCAUAUAUAGGUUUACAGUAGAUUCUUAAAAUGUAUUCAUAAAUUGGCGUUAAGGUUGACACUGCACAUUUUAGGGGGAGGACUUGCUCUAAUUCACCGAGUGGUGAGAAAACAAUUUUAUAUAUAUUCCAGCCAUUUUAUUAAGCAGCUGUAUUUCUUAUUUUCAUAUCUACAUCUAAAGGUGUAGUUCUAAUGAAACCAGGUUGGGAAUGUUAACAAAAAUACAUGUAACAAUCCAUUUCUAAUAUUACCGUAAUACAGACCGGCUGGGGAGUCAAAAGCCAAGGUUUCCCUGCAAUGCUGCUUCAACAAUCUCCAUGCUAGACCAGACCUGCGUAAAAUGUUACAAGAACAUUCAUUUCCAUUACCGUCUCUUCUUCUCCUAUAUGUGGCAUUUCAGGCCACAUACUGCAAAACUAUAAGUGAGAGUGACAAAAGCCGAGCAGUGGGGACACUCGACCACAUCAACACCGGGGGCCUAAGGUCCAUCUUGGAGGAUGCCGUUUCGCCAGCUUUCGGGGCCACCAUCAUCAUCAUCCUGACCGUGGUCGUGUCCGGGAGCGCGUAUCUCUGCUUUCUAAAGUACGUGUGUACUGGCUGCUGCACACCCAUGCAGGUGGUUCCUACUGAGGACUUGGAGUCCAAUAAAGUGGAAGAGCAAGUGUAGCAAAUAAUAUUGGAAUACUAAUUCCUUAAUGGACGAAGAGAAAAACGCUGCAGUGAGAGAGAAAAACAUGUGACUCUCAGCUGCUGGACUGUCUGAAUUGUAACAACAAAAGUCAUUCAAUUUCCUUUUCAAAAGUCAGUUGCCAGAGGUGGAUUGUUCCAGAACAUUUAUUAUCAUGUGUAAAGUGUACAUUAGAGAAGAGAAAUGUAACGGUAUUGUGCAUACCGACGUUUCAAAAACCUCAUAAUAAUGCCGUGGUAUGUUAACCUGACUCUCGCCAGAUCCUUGUAGUUCGCUGAGCUCCACACAAGGAUCUGGGACUUCUCAAUAGGAGAUAUAUUUCAGAAGGCGGGGCCUUGUAAAAAAAAUCAUUGUAUGUGAUUGGAGAAACCAUUUGUCCGUUAUCUUGAAUGACGUGCUACUUCAACCACUCACAUCCAAAUCAAGCCGUGACGCUGAUGAGAGCGACGCUGGGAAAUCCAAAACAGAACAGCCGACAUAUUGGAUAACGACAGAGCGAAAAGUUUAGAGAACUUUUACUGAAACAACGUAGCAAUGUCAGUUGACGAUCGAUGUCGUUUGUGCAAAGAAAAAAUGCGAAUAGAUGACGUCAUUGGGAACAGCAAAAAAACAUUUCACAAAGUAGCCAAAGAAAAAAGCAUUGUCGAACUUCUAACAGAACUUGGUUUGAAAUUGUUGAAUGUUCGGGAGAGACCGUGUCGAAUAUGCUUACGGGGCUUUCGUUUGAUAGGGAAAGUCGAAGACACCCUGUCUACUUUUAAGAGAUGGCAAAAGACUGAAGAGGAACCGAGUUCUGAACAGUCAUCUCCUUCAGCGACGUCAGAGAGUGCAAAGGUGUCUGUCGCACAUAAACGGGACAGGGUGCCGACUCCAUCAAACUCCAUCUCACCCUUAAAUAAUUAGUAUUCGAUAGAUUCGACAAAACAGUUGCAAUAGCAGAAUCAAUGUUAGCACACGACUCCUCGCUGCGUGCCGCCAUUGUUGUUUGAAUCAAACAGUCACUUCGGCGCUACGUCACAACUAUGAAAUCCUGCCCGGCGAUCCUGAUUGGUUCAUUAUUUUUUGCUAUCUUGAAGGAGUUUGCAUUGCUCUCGAUCCCUUGUGUGGAGCUAAGCGAAAUACAAGGAUCUGGCAAGAGUCAGGUUAGUGACAUGUGCAUCUCUAUCCUCCUUCAAAACCGCACUAAAAGAACACCUCCAGGCAACUACAACCCUAGACUAACACACCCCACAUCCCCGGAUUGUAAAUAAUCAAAUGUAAAUAAUCAAAUAUAUAUGCCGUAUUUUCUGCAUUAAAGGCGCACCUAAAAACCUCCAAUUUCCUCAAACGCUGACAGUGCGCCUUAUAUAUGGACCAAUAUUGAGCCACAACAGGUCUCGCAACUACGCCGACUUCAUUUUCCCCCUUAUACGGCUGCUUACCGUAGAAGAAGAAGCGCUUCUUCUACGGGGGAAAAUGAAGUUGGCGGCUGAUUACCGUAGAAGAAGCGCUUCUUCUACGGGGGAAAAUGAAGUCGGCGGCUGAUUACUGUAGUUGCAAGACCUAAA